This is a ribosomal RNA of 1079 nucleotides. It matches the Rfam family "Eukaryotic small subunit ribosomal RNA", at positions 643 to 1603 of the family's 1831-position model. The record is from Rfam.
CACCCAAAACAACACACUAACUCACUCACACAAACACUCCUCUCCACGACUCUCCCACUACAUAUAUAUAUAGAUAUAUAUACGCACACACAUUCUCUCAAGUUCUUCAGGCCCAUUGUCCAAGGAAAUUACCCGCCGGCUUGCGCCCUUCGUCCGGAAUUAACCUGUCGUUGUUCGAAUCGCGACACCAUUCGCGAAUUUGUUGCAUUCCUCCUGGGGAGCCUCAUGGCCUUCACUGGCUGUGGGGGGAACCAGGACUUUUACUGUGAAAAAAUUAGAGUGUUCAAAGCAGGCCUUUGCUCGGAUACAUUAGCAUGGAAUAAUAGAAUAGGACGUGUGGUUCUAUUUUGUUGGUUUCUAGGACCGCCGUAAUGAUUAAUAGGGAUGGUCGGGGGCGUCAGUAUUCGGCUGUCAGAGGUGAAAUUCUUGGAUUUGCUGAAGACUAACUACUGCGAAAGCAUUCGCCAAGGAUGUUUUCAUUAAUCAGUGAACGAAAGUUAGGGGAUCGAAGACGAUCAGAUACCGUCGUAGUCUUAACCAUAAACUAUGCCGACUAGGGAUCGGACGGGGUUCUUAUGAUGACCCGUUCGGCACCUUACGAGAAAUCAAAGUUUUUGGGUUCUGGGGGGAGUAUGGUCGCAAGGCUGAAACUUAAAGAAAUUGACGGAAGGGCACCACAAGGCGUGGAGCCUGCGGCUUAAUUUGACUCAACACGGGGAAACUCACCAGGUCCAGACAAAAUAAGGAUUGACAGAUUGAGAGCUCUUUCUUGAUCUUUUGGAUGGUGGUGCAUGGCCGUUCUUAGUUGGUGGAGUGAUUUGUCUGCUUAAUUGCGAUAACGAACGAGACCUUAACCUGCUAAAUAGCCCGACCCGCGUGUGCGGGCCGCUGGCUUCUUAGAGGGACUAUCGGCUCAAGCCGAUGGAAGUUUGAGGCAAUAACAGGUCUGUGAUGCCCUUAGAUGUUAUGGGCCGCCCGAGCGGUACACUGACAGGGCCAGAGAGUACAUCACCUCCCCACGGGGUCAGCGUAAUCUUGUUAAGCCCAAUCCCACACAGAUACAGCAGAAUCCACCACAC